ACUGCUAUCGGAUUGAUACUAAGCCAUGUGAGUCAUUGUAGCAAUACAAGGCAGACGGCUCAGUAACACGCAGCCAAUCUAACCUAUGGACGGGGAUAACCUCGGGAAACUGAGAGUAAACCCCGAUAGAUCAUUAUGCCUGGAACGGUUAAUGGUCCAAAUGAUUCGUCGCCGCAGGAUGAGACUGCGGCUUAUCAGCUUGUUGGUGAGGUAAUGGCCCACCAAGGCUAUUACAGGUACGGGCUCUGAGAGGAGAAGCCCGGAGAUGGGUACUGAGACACGGACCCAGGCCCUAUGGGGCGCAGCAGGCGAGAAACCUUUGCAAUGUGCGCAAGCACGACAAGGUUAAUCCGAGUGUUUCCUGCUAAAGGAAUCUUUUGCUAGUCCUAAAAACACUAGCGAAUAAGGGGUGGGCAAGUUCUGGUGUCAGCCGCCGCGGUAAAACCAGCACCUCAAGUGGUCAGGAGGAUUAUUGGGCCUAAAGCAUCCGUAGCUUGCUCUGUAAGUUUCCGGUUAAAUCCAUUAGCUCAACUAAUGGCCUGCCGGAAAUACUGCAGAACUAGGAAGUGGGAGAGGUAGACGGUACUCGGUAGGAAGGGGUAAAAUCCUUUGAUCUAUUGAUGACCACCUGUGGCGAAGGCGGUCUACCAGAACACGUUCGACAGUGAGGGAUGAAAGCUGGGGGAGCAAACCGGAUUAGAUACCCGGGUAGUCCCAGCCGUAAACGAUGCAGACUCGAUGAUGCACUGGCUUGUGGCCAGUGCAGUGUCGCAGGGAAGCCGUUAAGUUUGCCGCCUGGGAAGUACGUACGCAAGUAUGAAACUUAAAGGAAUUGGCGGGGGAGCACCACAAGGGGUGAAGCCUGCGGUUCAAUUGGAUUCAACGCCGGGA
RNAcentral lists this ribosomal RNA (891 nucleotides) under uncultured archaeon. RNAcentral's name for it is "bacterial SSU rRNA". It matches the Rfam family "Archaeal small subunit ribosomal RNA", at positions 26 to 923 of the family's 1478-position model. The record is from RNAcentral.